GAGGGUAUAGCUCAAGUGGUAGAGCACAUGCCUAGCAUGUAUGAGGUCGUGAGUUCAAUCCCCAGUACCUCCU
This 73-nucleotide transfer RNA is filed under the name Camelus bactrianus (Bactrian camel). It matches the Rfam family "tRNA". Rfam says of the family: Transfer RNA (tRNA) molecules are approximately 80 nucleotides in length. Their secondary structure includes four short double-helical elements and three loops (D, anti-codon, and T loops). Further hydrogen bonds mediate the characteristic L-shaped molecular structure. tRNAs have two regions of fundamental functional importance: the anti-codon, which is responsible for specific mRNA codon recognition, and the 3' end, to which the tRNAs corresponding amino acid is attached (by aminoacyl-tRNA synthetases). tRNAs cope with the degeneracy of the genetic code in two manners: having more than one tRNA (with a specific anti-codon) for a particular amino acid; and 'wobble' base-pairing, i.e. permitting non-standard base-pairing at the 3rd anti-codon position. The record is from Rfam by way of RNAcentral. Lineage: Eukaryota; Metazoa; Chordata; Mammalia; Artiodactyla; Camelidae. RNAcentral also lists the same sequence under 2 other names.